GCAACCCAAGUGCAGGUGUGCAGAGCCGAGGGGCCUCCUCAUGCUGCCACGGACAUCAGAGGUUUACUUAGGGACCGGAGAGAUGGCUUGCUUAGUCAAGUGCUUGCUACUACACAAGCAUGAGGACUUGAGUUUGGAUCCCAAGCCCCCACACAAGUGUCCCAGCAUACAGCGAGACUCCCAGGAACCUUUCCAUGUGGCUUCAUGGCCAGAUAUCAAGGAAUGUUGCCAAUUCUGAAGAAGCUGACAUAGAAGAUGAAGAUAAUGGGGUAGAAGAAAAGCCAUUCAAAAAUGAACUCCUUGGAAAAGCCUGUUGUUAAUGCGAGGCAGAAGACACUCACCAAGCUCACCGCCCAAGGGCCCAAGUCCAAAAAGCGUCCCAGCAAGUCCAACGCUCUCAGCCGGUGUACCUGGCUUAGCAGCACCUGGAAAAAAGAGAAAGACAUGGAGCCACAGCCGCAGGAAACCAGCUACGGUGUGAGCUGGUGGCCCUGAGGGGUCUGACAAUAAAACCCAACAGCUUUUUUUCUAGCUGGGCUUCUAUCUGUCAAUUCAUUCUUUAGACAGACUGAAAAAAAUGCUUCAUUACCCAAGUAAAAUAUGUCAACUGCACCAAGAAACAGUAUGAGCGCCACGCUGUGCUCAGCAGGCCCCUCACUGCGGCUCUGCUCUCUGUGCAGCAUGGUGCAUCCCACUUCCUUUUUCAGUGUGAUUAUACAUGGUACGGACACUCGGGGCAAUAUUUCUCUCUCCCAGGGGAAGCAGCACAGUGCCCUCUGUGGAAAUGUGCAUGGUUUGUUUAAACGGUUUCCCUAAUGCUAGACAUCACACAUGACUCUGACAAAUGCCUUAAUCUGCACACCUUUUCACAACUGUCUUCUCCUGAGGAUAAAGUGAAGAAGUGAAAUCAGAGGUUCUAACAUCUAUAAUUAAGAACUAGCCGUUGGCUAGACCACCCCACCCUUUUAAUAAGAAGCAUCACCCACAACACUUGCUGGAUGUGACUGAGCAAACAAAGUGUCCGUUGUCUCUGGUUUAUUAACGCUCAGUAUAAGGUCAAUACAAUCCUCAGAACAGACGCAGAGUCUCCUGGGACAGCACUGUCCACUAUCAACAUUGAAUAUAAACACAAGUGUCAUUAUCGAAGCCUAUGGGAACGAUAAAAAAUACUGCUAUUUUUCCCCCCAACAGCACAUUUUCUGUCUCUUCUAUUGAUUAAAACCUUUUAAAAAA
This is a long non-coding RNA of Mus pahari (shrew mouse), 1233 nucleotides long. RefSeq lists it as uncharacterized. The record is from RefSeq and is a predicted model, not a curated record. NCBI's taxonomy places the organism in Eukaryota, Metazoa, Chordata, Mammalia, Rodentia, Muridae. The transcript has 4 exons.